RNAcentral lists this ribosomal RNA (464 nucleotides) under Vreelandella stevensii. Its description in RNAcentral is "partial 16S ribosomal RNA". It matches the Rfam family "Bacterial small subunit ribosomal RNA", at positions 339 to 795 of the family's 1533-position model. Lineage: Bacteria; Pseudomonadati; Pseudomonadota; Gammaproteobacteria; Oceanospirillales; Halomonadaceae. The record is from RNAcentral.
CCUCGGGUGGCAGCAGUGGGGAAUAUUGGACAAUGGGCGAAAGCCUGAUCCAGCCAUGCCGCGUGUGUGAAGAAGGCCUUCGGGUUGUAAAGCACUUUCAGUGGGGAAGAAAGCCUUGGGGCUAAUACCCUCGAGGAAGGACAUCACCCACAGAAGAAGCACCGGCUAACUCCGUGCCAGCAGCCGCGGUAAUACGGAGGGUGCGAGCGUUAAUCGGAAUUACUGGGCGUAAAGCGCGCGUAGGCGGUCUGAUAAGCCGGUUGUGAAAGCCCCGGGCUCAACCUGGGAACGGCAUCCGGAACUGUCAGGCUAGAGUGCAGGAGAGGAAGGUAGAAUUCCCGGUGUAGCAGUGAAAUGCGUAGAGAUCGGGAGGAAUACCAGUGGCGAAGGCGGCCUUCUGGACUGACACUGACGCUGAGGUGCGAAAGCGUGGGUAGCAAACAGGAUUAGAUACCCCAGUAGUC